RNAcentral lists this unclassified non-coding RNA (211 nucleotides) under uncultured Lycoperdon. Its description in RNAcentral is "sequence contains ITS2". Lineage: Eukaryota; Fungi; Basidiomycota; Agaricomycetes; Agaricales; Lycoperdaceae. The record is from RNAcentral.
AAUUCUCAACCCCUCCAGCUUUUGCGAGUUGUGAUGGGGCUUGGAUGUUGGGAGUUUGCGGGUCUUUAUUAAUAAAGGUCGGCUCUCCUGAAAUACAUUAGCGGAACCGUUUGCAGUCCCGUCACUAGUGUGAUAAUUAUCUACACUGUGAUGAUUGCUCUCUGACUAGUUCAGCUGCUAAUCGUCCACUAUGGACAACACUUAAUGAAAU